RNAcentral lists this long non-coding RNA (1076 nucleotides) under Gossypium barbadense (sea-island cotton). RNAcentral describes it as "long non-coding RNA (GBAR_LNC018727)". The record is from RNAcentral. Lineage: Eukaryota; Viridiplantae; Streptophyta; Magnoliopsida; Malvales; Malvaceae.
CGGUGUUGAGCGGUGGCGGCCUCCGAAUCUAACAUGUGUAAAAGUGAACUUUGAUGUUGUUUUCCAUGCGUCUGCAAAGACUUCCUGUGCGGGUAUUGUCAUUAGGGAUCAUUUGGGCAUGGUGAUGGGUCCACAAUCAGUGGUCACGUACCUUCGUCUUUUGCUGCAGAGGCCCUGGCUUGCUAUCAUGGAUUCGACUGGUUCUGGGGCUGGGGUUGCAUGAGGCUAUUUUUGAAGGUGAUUCUCUCAUGGCGAUCCGCAAGAUCCUAUCUCCUUAUCAUGAUAUGUCGGCCCUUGGGCCUUACAUCAAAGGUAUCAAUGCAAUGGCUGUGUAGUUUCGUUGGUGUUGAUUCGUGCAUGUUCCCCGAGCUACAAAUCAGGUGGCCCAUCUAUUGGUAGCUGCGAGUCUCCCGGGAGGGGAUCAUGCUUAAUAGGCGGGAGGGGUGCCUCUCUUUGCUUCGACAAUAGUGGAUAAUGAUAGUUGUGCCUUCCGAUCGGAUGAGUGUGGGAGAUGGAGUAUCUUUUUACAAGGAUCUGAUUCGGGGGUGGGGAUUGGAGGUGGGAGGAGCUCAAGAGUUUGUGGAAUCCGCGGGGUUGGGGAAGAGUUUGAUCGUCUCUGUUGGGGUACAGGUUCUCGUUCGUUAAUCAAGCCUCUUGGGUGUGGUAGGUAGUGGUUCGACGAUCUCUUAACGGUUACCGGAGAAGAUUUUCUGAUCUGUCGACAUCAGUGGCGUCCCUUCAGCUUUUUGUUUUCUUUCUAGAAGGUUUAGAUGACAACUCAAAAUUAGGAUUUGGCAUUGCUGUUUUUGCCUUUUGUUUGGGCUGUUUAAUCUGGACUUUUGUUUGGGUUUUUAGGGUUUUUUUUUGGAUUUAUUUUUUUUCUUUGUUUUUGGACUGUUUUCUGUACUAGUUUCGUUUUUAAUCAAAGCCCAGUUUCCUUUAAAAAAAAAUAUUUCAUCAACUAUUUGGUCAUCUUAUUCCUUUCUUAAACUCUCCUUUCUCAUUCGCAAACAGUUGAUUUGAAUUAAAUGUUUGUAUUAAAUUUUCAUUCAUUCAACCACAACUAGAGCAACCCA